RNAcentral lists this ribosomal RNA (468 nucleotides) under uncultured bacterium. Its description in RNAcentral is "partial 16S ribosomal RNA". It matches the Rfam family "Bacterial small subunit ribosomal RNA", at positions 28 to 507 of the family's 1533-position model. The record is from RNAcentral.
GAUGAACGCUGGCGGCGUGCUUAACACAUGCAAGUCGAACGGAAAGGCCCUGCUGUUGUGGGGUGCUCGAGUGGCGAACGGGUGAGUAACACGUGAGUAACCUGCCCUUGACUUUGGGAUAACUUCAGGAAACUGGGGCUAAUACCGGAUAGGAGCUCCUGCUGCAUGGUGGGGGUUGGAAAGUUUCGGCGGUUGGGGAUGGACUCGCGGCUUAUCAGCUUGUUGGUGGGGUAGUGGCUUACCAAGGCUUUGACGGGUAGCCGGCCUGAGAGGGUGGCCGGCCACAUUGGGACUGAGAUACGGCCCAGACUCCUACGGGCGGCAGCAGUGGGGAAUAUUGCACAAUGGGCGGAAGCCUGAUGCAGCAACGCCGCGUGCGGGAUGACGGCCUUCGGGUUGUAAACCGCUUUCGCCUGUGACGAAGCGUGAGUGACGGUAAUGGGUAAAGAAGCACCGGCUAACUACGUG